Molecule: transfer RNA, 72 nt
Filed under: Cavia porcellus (domestic guinea pig)
Lineage: Eukaryota; Metazoa; Chordata; Mammalia; Rodentia; Caviidae
Rfam family: tRNA
About the family: Transfer RNA (tRNA) molecules are approximately 80 nucleotides in length.
Source: Rfam by way of RNAcentral
GGGGAUGUGGCUCAGGAGUAGAGUUUGUGCCUUGCGUGCACAAGGCCCUAAGUUCGAUUCCCAGCACUCCCU